Eubalaena glacialis (North Atlantic right whale) is the source of this 74-nucleotide non-coding RNA. The record is from the annotation of a RefSeq genome assembly. Lineage: Eukaryota; Metazoa; Chordata; Mammalia; Artiodactyla; Balaenidae.
GUCUCUGUGGCGCAGCCGGUUAGCGCGUUCGGCUGUUAACUGAACGGUUGGUGGUUUGAACCCACUCAAGGACG